Molecule: transfer RNA, 73 nt
Filed under: Ailuropoda melanoleuca (giant panda)
Lineage: Eukaryota; Metazoa; Chordata; Mammalia; Carnivora; Ursidae
Rfam family: tRNA
About the family: Transfer RNA (tRNA) molecules are approximately 80 nucleotides in length. Their secondary structure includes four short double-helical elements and three loops (D, anti-codon, and T loops).
Source: Rfam by way of RNAcentral
ACCCAGCUGGCUCGGUCGGUGCAGCAUGUGACUCUUGAUCUCAGGGUUGUGAGUUCGAGCCCCGCGUUGGGUG